RNAcentral lists this ribosomal RNA (253 nucleotides) under uncultured bacterium. RNAcentral describes it as "partial 16S ribosomal RNA". It matches the Rfam family "Bacterial small subunit ribosomal RNA", at positions 524 to 776 of the family's 1533-position model. The record is from RNAcentral.
UACAGAGGGGGCAAGCGUUGUUCGGAAUUACUGGGCGUAAAGGGCGCGUAGGCGGCCUGCUAAGUCGAACGUGAAAUCCCUGGGCUCAACCCAGGAACUGCGUCCGAUACUGGUUGGCUUGAAUCCGGGAGAGGGAUGCGGAAUUCCAGGUGUAGCGGUGAAAUGCGUAGAUAUCUGGAGGAACACCGGUGGCGAAGGCGGCAUCCUGGACCGGCAUUGACGCCGAGGCGCGAAAGCCAGGGGAGCAAACGGG